RNAcentral lists this transfer RNA (65 nucleotides) under Cerambycidae sp. 2 KM-2017. RNAcentral's name for it is "tRNA-Thr". It matches the Rfam family "tRNA". From Rfam's summary of the family: Transfer RNA (tRNA) molecules are approximately 80 nucleotides in length. The record is from RNAcentral. Lineage: Eukaryota; Metazoa; Arthropoda; Insecta; Coleoptera; Cerambycidae.
GUUUUAAUAAUUUAAGUAAAAUACUGGUCUUGUAAACCAACAAUAAGAAUAAUUCUUUUAAAACA